Molecule: ribosomal RNA, 458 nt
Filed under: uncultured bacterium
Lineage: Bacteria
Description: partial 16S ribosomal RNA
Rfam family: Bacterial small subunit ribosomal RNA
Source: RNAcentral
GAUGAAUGCUGGCGGCGCGCCUAACACAUGCAAGUCGAGCGGAAAGGCCCUUCGGGGUACUCGAGCGGCGGACGGCUGAGUAACGCGUGGGAACAUGCCCCAAAGUGAGGAAUAACUGCCCGAAAGGGUAGCUAAUGCCGCAUAUGAUCUUCGGAUUAAAGGAUUUAUCCGCUUUGGGAGUGGCCCGCGUACGGUUAGGUAGUUGGUGAGGUAAAGGCUCACCAAGCCUACGAUCGUUAACUGGUCUGAGAGGAUGAUCAGUCAGACUGGAACUGAGGCACGGUCCAGACUCCUACGGGAGGCAGCAGUGAGGAAUCUUCCACAAUGGGCGAAAGCCUGAUGGAGCGACGCCGCGUGCAGGAUGAAGGCCUUCGGGUUGUAAACUGCUUUUAUAAGUGAAGAAUAUGACGGUAACUUAUGAAUAAGCACCGGCUAGCUACGUGCCAGCCGCCGCCGUA